Long non-coding RNA from Gymnodraco acuticeps, 418 nucleotides. RefSeq lists it as uncharacterized. The transcript is spliced from 2 exons. NCBI's taxonomy places the organism in Eukaryota, Metazoa, Chordata, Actinopteri, Perciformes, Bathydraconidae. The record is from RefSeq and is a predicted model, not a curated record.
UUCCACCGGGAUAACCCUGGAAGACCUGGUAGACCGCCUGGAGGCGUCCCUUAAGGGGGGGGUACUGUGGUGGUUGCAUUCUCCAGCCACCUUCCUUGUGUGUGUGUUUUCCCUUUCCCUGUCUGUGUGGGCGUGGUGCCUGUCACUCCUGGCUCCCGGCUCAAAUCUCCACCAGCUGCAAACAGUUGAGCACUCUCCUCUGCGACACACCUGAUUCCCAUCAGCCAUUACGGAUGGUAUAUCAGCGGAGGCUCCACAACCUGUCAGCGCCAGAUCGUUGUUAAACCCCAGUGGAUUACGCUUCAGUGGAUUACGUUCCAGUGGAUUAAAACUCCGGAGGAUACUCUUCAGUGGAUUACGCUCCAGUGGAUACUCUCCAGCCGGAUUAUCUCCUCCAAAUAAAACCUUUGUAACACAC